UACGUAGGGUGCAAGCGUUGUCCGGAAUUAUUGGGCGUAAAGAGCUCGUAGGCGGCCUGUUGCGUCCGCUGUGAAAUCCCAGGGCUCAACCCUGGGCGUGCAGUGGAUACGGGCAGGCUGGAGGCAGGCAGGGGAGAACGGAAUUCCCGGUGUAGCGGUGAAAUGCGUAGAGAUGUGGAGGAACACCGAUGGCGAAGGCAGCCCCUGGGUCAAGAUUGACGCUCAUGCACGAAAGGCGUGGGAGCAAACAGGAUUACG
RNAcentral lists this ribosomal RNA (258 nucleotides) under uncultured bacterium. Its description in RNAcentral is "partial 16S ribosomal RNA". It matches the Rfam family "Bacterial small subunit ribosomal RNA", at positions 524 to 782 of the family's 1533-position model. The record is from RNAcentral.